Molecule: ribosomal RNA, 691 nt
Filed under: Haemophilus sp. HGPR55
Lineage: Bacteria; Pseudomonadati; Pseudomonadota; Gammaproteobacteria; Pasteurellales; Pasteurellaceae
Description: bacterial SSU rRNA
Rfam family: Bacterial small subunit ribosomal RNA
Source: RNAcentral
GUAACAUAAAGAAGCUUGCUUCUUUGAUGACGAGUGGCGGACGGGUGAGUAAUGCUUGGGAAUCUAGCUUAUGGAGGGGGAUAACUACGGGAAACUGUAGCUAAUACCGCGUAGAAUCGGGAGAUGAAAGUGUGGGACCUUCGGGCCACAUGCCAUAGGAUGAGCCCAAGUGGGAUUAGGUAGUUGGUGAGGUAAAGGCUCACCAAGCCGACGAUCUCUAGCUGGUCUGAGAGGAUGACCAGCCACACUGGGACUGAGACACGGCCCAGACUCCUACGGGAGGCAGCAGUGGGGAAUAUUGCGCAAUGGGGGCAACCCUGACGCAGCCAUGCCGCGUGAAUGAAGAAGGCCUUCGGGUUGUAAAGUUCUUUCGGUAGCGAGGAAGGCAUUUAGUUUAAUAGACUAGGUGAUUGACGUUAACUACAGAAGAAGCACCGGCUAACUCCGUGCCAGCAGCCGCGGUAAUACGGAGGGUGCGAGCGUUAAUCGGAAUAACUGGGCGUAAAGGGCACGCAGGCGGUGACUUAAGUGAGGUGUGAAAGCCCCGGGCUUAACCUGGGAAUUGCAUUUCAUACUGGGUCGCUAGAGUACUUUAGGGAGGGGUAGAAUUCCACGUGUAGCGGUGAAAUGCGUAGAGAUGUGGAGGAAUACCGAAGGCGAAGGCAGCCCCUUGGGAAUGUACUGACGCUCA